RNAcentral lists this long non-coding RNA (206 nucleotides) under Vigna radiata. RNAcentral's name for it is "long non-coding RNA (VRAD_LNC010578)". The record is from RNAcentral. Lineage: Eukaryota; Viridiplantae; Streptophyta; Magnoliopsida; Fabales; Fabaceae.
AGAGUGUAACCAAGGUUCUCCGACAUCAAAGCUAGCAACUUUUGCAUCCAACUCUGUCACGGAUUCCAUAUACUGGAUGGAAAAUCGGGCCUCUGAUUAAAAGCGGGAACAUAAUUUUCUAUGGUCUGGAAUCUGCGGUCUUUUUGAUUAAUAGUUGAGUCUCAGGUGUUCGACGAAAUGUCAAACCGAGUUUGCAUAAAAAGAGG